Molecule: transfer RNA, 95 nt
Filed under: compost metagenome
Description: tRNA-Gly
Source: RNAcentral
GCGAGCAUGCUGCGGGAAAAGAUCAAGGCGCUCGCCGGGCGCUGACCUGUCAGGCGGAGGGUGAGUGCGGCGGCUCCGCCGCCGCCCGCUCGCGC